RNAcentral lists this long non-coding RNA (613 nucleotides) under Saimiri boliviensis boliviensis (Bolivian squirrel monkey). RNAcentral's name for it is "lncRNA (ENSSBOG00000036671.1)". Lineage: Eukaryota; Metazoa; Chordata; Mammalia; Primates; Cebidae. The record is from RNAcentral.
GACAGCUUCACUAUUCUGGUCUGCCAGUACAGAUAUCAGUGAUCCAAGAAGAUACAGGAAGAGGCUUGCUGUGGGAGUCGCCUGGAGCCGUCCAUGAUGGUGUAGCAGUAUAAGCACAGGCCAAGCAAGGCGGGCCUUGAGAUGAGGCCAGAUGGGGCCUGAAUCAGGGUGGGUUCAGCAUGUCCAGGAAGGUGCUGCUACUUCACAGACAGGACUCACAGCAUGUACCAUUAGAGACUGGAUCAUUAAAGCACUGGAUAGAACUCUUCAGGCUGUGGAGUGUGUAGGCCACUUCCUGAAGUUCUUAGUGAAUUGUUAUGAGAAAAAGACAAGCGUCUGUCAUCUGAAAGUUAAAAAAGAAGAAAAAUGUGUCUUGAGAAAAGAAGUCCUUUUUCUUUUGGUAGCUGAGUGCCAGACACCACCAUACUUUGCGAGGUUGGAAAAGGUGAGUUCUCUGUUACGUGAUGACGUUUGUUCCAGCAAAGACAGAGACACUGGAAACGGAACAGAAGAAGCGCUAAAAUUGGGAAGGAGCUGGAGCCCGAUUUUGACUUGUCCAAGACAGAAUUGCUCCUAUCUGGAUUAUACAAACAACUCCAGCAUAAAUCAGUAA